ACCCCCUAGCAAUGGGAAAGAGACACCUUGGUGGUGGUGGUGGUGUUCUUACAUCAGUCAGGGGCAGAGCAGAUGGCAGUCCUUGGUUCAUCCUAGCUGAUGCCUGGCUUGACAGUCAAAGCUGUUUUAUGCUUAGGACUCAUAA
Molecule: small nucleolar RNA, 145 nt
Organism: Mus musculus (house mouse)
Lineage: Eukaryota; Metazoa; Chordata; Mammalia; Rodentia; Muridae
Product: small nucleolar RNA SNORA48
Exons: 1
Source: RefSeq, a predicted model, not a curated record